AUGCAAGUCGAGCGGUAGCACAGAGAGCUUGCUCUCGGGUGACGAGCGGCGGACGGGUGAGUAAUGUCUGGGAAACUGCCUGAUGGAGGGGGAUAACUACUGGAAACGGUAGCUAAUACCGCAUAAUGUCGCAAGACCAAAGUGGGGGACCUUCGGGCCUCAUGCCAUCAGAUGUGCCCAGAUGGGAUUAGCUAGUAGGUGGGGUAACGGCUCACCUAGGCGACGAUCCCUAGCUGGUCUGAGAGGAUGACCAGCCACACUGGAACUGAGACACGGUCCAGACUCCUACGGGAGGCAGCAGUGGGGAAUAUUGCACAAUGGGCGCAAGCCUGAUGCAGCCAUGCCGCGUGUGUGAAGAAGGCCUUCGGGUUGUAAAGCACUUUCAGCGGGGAGGAAGGCGAUAAGGUUAAUAACCUUGUCGAUUGACGUUACCCGCAGAAGAAGCACCGGCUAACUCCGUGCCAGCAGCCGCGGUAAUACGGAGGGUGCAAGCGUUAAUCGGAAUUACUGGGCGUAAAGCGCACGCAGGCGGUCUGUCAAGUCGGAUGUGAAAUCCCCGGGCUCAACCUGGGAACUGCAUUCGAAACUGGCAGGCUAGAGUCUUGUAGAGGGGGGUAGAAUUCCAGGUGUAGCGGUGAAAUGCGUAGAGAUCUGGAGGAAUACCGGUGGCGAAGGCGGCCCCCUGGACAAAGACUGACGCUCAGGUGCGAAAGCGUGGGGAGCAAACAGGAUUAGAUACCCUGGUAGUCCACGCCGUAAACGAUGUCGAUUUGGAGGUUGUGCCCUUGAGGCGUGGCUUCCGGAGCUAACGCGUUAAAUCGACCGCCUGGGGAGUACGGCCGCAAGGUUAAAACUCAAAUGAAUUGACGGGGGCCCGCACAAGCGGUGGAGCAUGUGGUUUAAUUCGAUGCAACGCGAAGAACCUUACCUGGUCUUGACAUCCACAGAACUUAGCAGAGAUGCUUUGGUGCCUUCGGGAACUGUGAGACAGGUGCUGCAUGGCUGUCGUCA
Molecule: ribosomal RNA, 1011 nt
Filed under: Klebsiella pneumoniae
Lineage: Bacteria; Pseudomonadati; Pseudomonadota; Gammaproteobacteria; Enterobacterales; Enterobacteriaceae
Description: bacterial SSU rRNA
Rfam family: Bacterial small subunit ribosomal RNA
Source: RNAcentral